This 468-nucleotide ribosomal RNA is filed under the name uncultured bacterium. RNAcentral describes it as "partial 16S ribosomal RNA". It matches the Rfam family "Bacterial small subunit ribosomal RNA", at positions 28 to 507 of the family's 1533-position model. The record is from RNAcentral.
GACGAACGCUGGCGGCGUGCUUAACACAUGCAAGUCGAACGGAAAGGCCCUGCUUUUGUGGGGUGCUCGAGUGGCGAACGGGUGAGUAACACGUGAGUCACCUGCCCUUGACUUUGGGAUAACUUCAGGAAACUGGGGCUAAUACCGGAUAGGAGCUCCUGCUGCAUGGUGGGGGUUGGAAAGUUUCGGCGGUUGGGGAUGGACUCGCGGCUUAUCAGCUUGUUGGUGGGGUAGUGGCUUACCAAGGCUUUGGCGGGUAGCCGGCCUGAGAGGGUGACCGGCCACAUUGGGACUGAGAUACGGCCCAGACUCCUACGGGAGGCAGCAGUGGGGAAUAUUGCACAAUGGGCGGAAGCCUGAUGCAGCAACGCCGCGUGCGGGAUGACGGCCUUCGGGUUGUAAACCGCUUUCGCCUGUGACGAAGCGUGAGUGACGGUAAUGGGUAAAGAAGCACCGGCUAACUACGUG